RNAcentral lists this ribosomal RNA (249 nucleotides) under uncultured bacterium. RNAcentral's name for it is "partial 16S ribosomal RNA". It matches the Rfam family "Bacterial small subunit ribosomal RNA", at positions 335 to 599 of the family's 1533-position model. The record is from RNAcentral.
UGGCCUACGGGAGGCAGCAGUGGGGAAUAUUGGGCAAUGGGCGCAAGCCUGACCCAGCGACGCCGCGUGAGGGAAGACGGUCUUCGGAUUGUAAACCUCUUUCAGCAGGGAAGACAAAAGGACGGUACCUGCAGAAGAAGCCACGGCUAACUACGUGCCAGCAGCCGCGGUAAUACGUAGGGGGCUAGCGUUAUCCGGAAUUACUGGGCGUAAAGGGGGCGUAGGUGGUUUCUUAAGUCAGAGGUGAAA